UACGUAGGUGGCGAGCGUUAUCCGGAUUUAUUGGGCGUAAAGCGUCCGCAGCCGGUUUAUUAAGUCUAAGAUUAAAGCCCGAAGCUCAACUUCGGUUCGUUUUAGAAACUGGUAGACUUGAGUGUGGUAGAGGCAAGUGGAACUUCUAGUGUAGCGGUAAAAUGCGUAGAUAUUAGAAAGAACACCAGUGGCGAAGGCGACUUGCUGGGCCACCACUGACGGUCAGGGACGAAAGCGUGGGGAGCAAAUAGG
RNAcentral lists this ribosomal RNA (252 nucleotides) under uncultured bacterium. RNAcentral's name for it is "partial 16S ribosomal RNA". It matches the Rfam family "Bacterial small subunit ribosomal RNA", at positions 524 to 776 of the family's 1533-position model. The record is from RNAcentral.